This 253-nucleotide ribosomal RNA is filed under the name uncultured bacterium. RNAcentral's name for it is "partial 16S ribosomal RNA". It matches the Rfam family "Bacterial small subunit ribosomal RNA", at positions 524 to 776 of the family's 1533-position model. The record is from RNAcentral.
UACGUAGGGGGCAAGCGUUGUCCGGAUUUAUUGGGCGUAAAGAGCGUGUAGGCGGCCAUACAGGUCAGCUGUGAAAACUCGAGGCUCAACCUCGAGACGUCGGUUGAAACCGUUUGGCUAGAGUCCGGAAGAGGAGAGUGGAAUUCCCGGUGUAGUGGUGAAAUGCGUAGAUAUCGGGAGGAACACCAGUGGCGAAGGCGACUACCUGGCCUGUUCUUGACGCUGAGGCGCGAAAGCUAGGGGAGCAAACGGG